RNAcentral lists this long non-coding RNA (1160 nucleotides) under Olea europaea (common olive). RNAcentral describes it as "long non-coding RNA (OEUR_LNC005662)". Lineage: Eukaryota; Viridiplantae; Streptophyta; Magnoliopsida; Lamiales; Oleaceae. The record is from RNAcentral.
UUAGCAAACGUAUCUUCUUCCUUUCUCCCGAGACUUUGGUUUCACCAACGAAAUUAAAACUAUCUUCUUCAUUUACGUUAGGGUACAAAGGGCUAACUAAGUAGAGGGAAAAUAUGAAGGAAUUACACAGGAGACGACAAAAAGAGGACGAAGAAGAGGAAAGAAAAGUUGUCAAUCAUCGUGAAAUUGGCUUGUGGCUGAAAAAUUAGCCAGAAUAAGAGUUCGAAAAAGUCAAGAAAUUGAUUUCAAGUUUUAUUAAAUCAGGUGAGGAAGUGAAGGAGGUAAUUGUUUAUAGCAUUGAACUUGUUCAUCUCAGAAUUUCUGUCCUUUUUAUGGUUGUAAAUUGGAACACUUAGGGGACAUUUAUGUGUAAAUUAGGAUUUAUUUUGCUUAGUUUGAAGGUAUAAAUUCAAAUCAAAAGUGGACGAUCAAACAACGUGAAAUAAUGAGUGUAUCACAAUGAUGAAAUUCUCUACUAAUUACUAGAAUUAUUGUAAAAUGAUUAAAAAAAAAAAAAAGGGCGUAAUAAGUACUAUUUUAGCACAAUACACUCUUUGUCCUCUAUUCCUCGCAGAGAAAUCCAUUUUGCCUUCUGAAUUUUUAGUCGUAUGUUGGAUUUUUAAAUAUUUGCACGUGAAUUGACUUAUUGGGUAGCAAUGGCAAAUCGAAACAAUGAAUAGGUCGAAGAAGGAUUACAACCUACGCCUAUGAUCGAAAAUGGGAGACGUACGUGGCACUAUUAUCAGUAAUUUCUACAAGGAUAAGCCAUUUUUCUUUAGCACCAAAUUUUGGAGGUAAUAUCAAACGUUUAUUUAGAAACAUGCUUUAAUUCUAUUGGGCUCUAUUUGUUUCCGACUCGAUUUGAUUGCGUGUAAAUGAUGUAACCAUAAACGCUUCUCAACUUCUAGCUCCUUAGAAUUUAUUUUUCAAAAUUGUUGUUUUAUAAUGGUAAUUUUCCUUCUGCAACAACAAUUUUUAGUCGAUAACUCUCUUGAAUUUUCGAUGAUGUUGGUUGUGGCUUUCUCCUUGGCUUCGAAAACUGACCCACCUCAAGUGUAAUCUGUGAAUAGCCAUUUGUGGCUUUUUUCCAAAAUUUGGCUCUGUUUGUGGCUUUUUGAACAUGUUUGUUGGUUCCCAAUUGACUAACUUUCUCAGUUUUG